GCUUGGGUACGGUGGGAUAAACAAAACAAAAAUGGAUAACAAAGGGUUUUGGACUCGGCAGUCAUGUUGUGUGAUUUUUCUUUCUCUUUUUCUCGUGCAUCACGUAUACUCUGGGGUUAAUUUCACUCUUUUGACUCUUUUUCUACUCAAAUUUUUCGAGCAUUUUAUAUGUGUUAGAGUCUUAAGUCUCGUCAAGUGCAUUUUUUCUCUUUUGUUUUUCUUUUUUUUCUUUUUUUUCUUUUUUUUCUUUUUGGACAUACACAAUUCUUUUCUUUUUGUAUGAUCUCUUAUUAUGCACUUGCCCUAUCUUUCUAGAUUACUACCCCAAACUUAGUAUUAUGCACAUCUUGCAACUCACAACAAUCAUGCCGAGUGAUGGAAGGAAUGAAUGAUUAGUGGUUAACAUGGGUUUAUG
Molecule: long non-coding RNA, 415 nt
Filed under: Lathyrus oleraceus (garden pea)
Lineage: Eukaryota; Viridiplantae; Streptophyta; Magnoliopsida; Fabales; Fabaceae
Description: Pisum sativum (pea) long non-coding RNA (PSAT_LNC037241)
Source: RNAcentral